CCUUCAUUGGAGCUAUUUGAAGAUUUUUGAAAAGCUACAAAGCAUGAAUAGCUCAAUAGUUCAACUCUUAGCUUCGGGAAAACUAAACGGAGAUAAUUAUUCAACGUGGAAAAACAAUCUGAAUACAAUACUGGUCGUCGAUGACCUACGAUUCGUCUUAACUGAGGAAUGUCCAUAAACCCCUGCCGCAAAUGCCAACCGAAAUGUUCGAGAAGCAUUUUAUCGAUGGGUCAAAGCCAACGAUAAGGCCCGUAUCUACAUUCUUGCCAGAAUGACUGAUGUAUUGGCAAAGAAACAUGAACCCUUGAUGACUGCAAAGGAAAUCUUGGAUUCAUUAAAGGCAAUGUUCGGGUAACCUUCAUCGACUUUGAGACACGAGGCACUUAAAUACGUUUACAACAAGCAUAUGAAGGAGGGGACUGAUUACGCUUGUUUACAUGCGUAAAAAGAAGGACCAUUUGGGAGUGCAAAUUAAUCAAAAGAAGCAAAAAGUCGAAAACAUCCUCAUGGAAGGCGCCAGACGCCUAGGAAGGCUGCAGAAAACUGUUUUUCUUCCAACUUUGCCCUUAAUGAAACGCGUCUUCCAAUGCAUUUUGGUGGUUCCAACCGAUGCAUACGU
This is a long non-coding RNA of Momordica charantia (bitter melon), 619 nucleotides long. RefSeq lists it as uncharacterized. The record is from RefSeq and is a predicted model, not a curated record. Lineage: Eukaryota; Viridiplantae; Streptophyta; Magnoliopsida; Cucurbitales; Cucurbitaceae.